UGUCAUUAUUUCUUGGCAUUGCUCAAUAAUGAAUUACUGGAUCAUAUAGUGACUGAAACCAACGCAUAUCAUGCCCGGUAUGCUGAAACAUCUGAUGUAACCCCUCGCUCGCACGAGAAAGAAUGGCUACACAUUACGAGAGAUGAACUUUUGACGUUCAUAGCUGUGACUAUGCUAAUGCCUCAUUCUAAAAAGGCUGUUAGACAUGAUUACUGGAGCAAGGCUGAGAUGUUAUACAUGCCAUUUUUUGCAAGACAAAUCACAAGAGACAGUUACAGUAAUAUUCUAAGAUUUCUUCACUUUUCUAGUGAAGAAACUGCUGAUCCACUUUGGAAAAUAAGACCAGUGCUGCAAAGUCUUACAGAUAAAUUCAAGUCUUACUUCAACCCAUUUCAGAAUCUUGUUAUAGAUGAAUCACUGAUGCUAUUCAAGGGAAGAUUAGCUUUCAAACAAUAUAUACCAUCAAAGCGACAUCGCUUUGGAAUCAAAUUGUAUGUGCUAUGUGAUUGCAAAACCGGAAUUGUGCUGGAUUUUUGCAUCCAUUCUGGCAGUGACAUUGAUGAUUGACUAAAAACAAUCCUAGUGGAUUCUCUGGCUCAGUAGUAGAUGUACUCCUGAAAGAUUACCUGGGAAAAGGCCAUGUAUUGUAUACUGAUAAUUGGUAUACGAGUCCUCAGCUGGCAAGGUAUUUACAUGAUAAUAAUACUGGUGCAGUGGGCACUGUCAGAUCAAAGAGAAAAUAUAUGCCAAACUUUGGAGUAACAAAAAAAGGUGAUGUAAUCAGAUUCAAGACACAUGAUAUGAUAGUAAUGAAAUGGCACGAUAAAAGAGCAGUGCAUCUUCUUUCUACUAUCCACACUGGCCAGAUGAAAGAUACCCAGCGGGUUCACAGGAGAACAAAUGAGCCUAUCUUCAAACCUGAUAUUGUCGCUGAUUAUAACAUCAACAUGAGACUCGUUGAUAAAGCUGAUAUGCAGCUAGGUACAGUGGACAGCCUAAGAAUAAGUGUCAAGUGGUAUAGGAAAGUAUUUUUCCACAUGAUAGAUAUUUGCAUGUUGAAUGCAUGCAACAUUUACAUGACCAAAACAGGCAACAAGUCAUCUCUAAGAGUAUUCAGUAUGAAAGUCAUAAAACAAAUGCUGGAAAGAUUUCCAACACAAGUGCCUACACAUUCACGUCCAGAUAGACAGAGCCGUGCAGCUCAGGAAGGACUGGCAAGCUGUAGGACUGGAAACUCAUUUCCCUGUACAUGUUCCUCCAGCACCAGGAAGGCCACAUAAGAAGGGACAGAGGGAAUGUAUAGUUUGCAAAACAACGCAGAGGAGAGAACAGAAACGCAAGCUAGUGACAACAAUGUGUGAAGGGCGUGGUGUAGGGUUGUGCCUAGGCGAAUGUUUCAAGAAAUAUCACACCCUCAAGACAUACUAAUAAGUGGGAAAGAGAACUGUUUAGAUAUAGUGAUACAUGUAUAAGGAGCAACAUAUGGCAAGAUGACCUAGUACGGAGCUCUACAUUCUACCAAUAGCAAGAUAAAUAUAACUUUACGUUAUACUAACAAAAUAAGUAUUACUUGUAAGAUUCACUGAAUACUGAUUUUACACAAAAUAUGACUGGGUAAAUGUUUGGAUGUAAGGUUGGGCAGCUGUGUGCCUACAUUAUCUUCUUUCCUUGUCACAGGGGCAGCAAGGGAGAGGGAGGCCUGUCUCCUUCAAGCAAACAGUACGUGGUGUAUCGGCAAGAUGAUCUAGUACAGAGUCCUACAUAGGAAUUCUACAGAGCUACCAGUUGCAAGGGAGCGCAGGGAGUGGGGAGAGAGGACUCUAUCCUUCAGGCAGAUGUUGGUGUAUCUUUUAUUGCCAUCAAACAGAUCAUCUUCCAUUAUUUCACAAGAGUUUGCAGAUGCAGCUUUCUUGCACCCACUUGAUGGCUCCUCGGAUUCCUCCCUUCACUCCCUCCGACCUUUACUACCCUGUGGGCCAGCACGUGUCAUCGCACUAGUGUUGCCAGAGUUUGUUUUGUUCUGCUCCAGUUCAUUCCCGUAUACAAGUUUUUAUUCUCUUUCUUUUCAGUUGUAAUAGAGCUUACUGUUAGACUAGGAUUACGGAAAUAAAGUAAUAAUUUAGACAACUCUUACCAUUUACUCCUCCGGGGUACCAGGGACCUCACAAAUAUAUUCCUCCUCGGACUCCUCGAAAGAGGUUAGGAACUGUUCCUCCAUAUAAUUUACAAAGCUAGAAACAGAAGAAGGAGAAGAAGAAAUAACGGAAGGGGGAGAUACUACAAGAGAAGAAGGUGGAGACAGAUCG
Molecule: long non-coding RNA, 2306 nt
Organism: Portunus trituberculatus (swimming crab)
Lineage: Eukaryota; Metazoa; Arthropoda; Malacostraca; Decapoda; Portunidae
Exons: 3
Source: RefSeq, a predicted model, not a curated record